GCAAACACAAAACAUCUUUAAAAGAAAGAAAGAAAGAAAGAAAGAAAAGCAACGUUCGGGAGUUCUGUGAUUUCUGUGUGAUUUCUGUGAUUCCUCUGAAUUUUUUUC
This 108-nucleotide non-coding RNA is filed under the name Stygamoeba regulata. Lineage: Eukaryota; Discosea; Stygamoebida. The record is from RNAcentral.